Molecule: long non-coding RNA, 483 nt
Organism: Corapipo altera (White-ruffed manakin)
Lineage: Eukaryota; Metazoa; Chordata; Aves; Passeriformes; Pipridae
Exons: 3
Source: RefSeq, a predicted model, not a curated record
AAGUGGUCUAAUCAGGCAAGAAGUUCAAGGCUUAAAGAAAAUAGAUAAACAGUAGUGAUGUUAAUCAAAACACAAAUAAAAUUAUCAAUCUAGUGGGAGCAGAGGUGCUUAAAUAUUUAUGCAGUAUACUCUCCCCUCACCUUCCCAGCCUUGUAGUACCUAUGGCUCUGCUGAUGUAACAACGUGAUGGUGGAAUGCUCAGGAUAACUCAUGGCUCCUAACAGCCUCCAGCAGCCACAACAUGAGCUGCAGCUAGCUGAAGUUGAAUCUGGAGGCAGUGCACAAACAGUUCAGGCACUGCUUAACCUUGCAGGUCCCCAAGAAAUGUAGGCUCCACUCAUCACCAGGAGGCUGCUGGUGAUCAGGGACAGGAGAGAGGCUGACAGUGAGAACACAACUCGACCGGGGUCCAGCCACUGCAGAGCAGUCAUAUGGCAGUGCCUCAGAUGAAAAACAAACACUGUGCAGGCUGAUCCACCAGGA